GACGAACGCUGGCGGCGUGCUUAACACAUGCAAGUCGAACGGAAAGGCCCUGCUUGCAGGGUACUCGAGUGGCGAACGGGUGAGUAACACGUGGGUGAUCUGCCCUGCACUUCGGGAUAAGCUUGGUAAACUGGGUCUAAUACCGGAUAGGAGCCAUCUUUAGUGUGGUGGUUGGAAAGUUUUUUCGGUGUAGGAUGAGCUCGCGGCCUAUCAGCUUGUUGGUGGGGUAAUGGCCUACCAAGGCGGCGACGGGUAGCCGGCCUGAGAGGGUGUACGGCCACAUUGGGUCUGAGACACGGCCCAGAUGCCUACGGUAGGGAGCAGUGGGGAAGAUUGCACAAUGGGCGCAAGCCUGAUGCAGCGACGCCGCGGGGGGGAUGAAGGCCUUCGGGUUGUAAACUCCUUUCGCUAGGGAAGAAGCUGUGUUGUGACGGUACCUAGAUAAGAAGCACCGGCUAACUACGUG
Molecule: ribosomal RNA, 466 nt
Filed under: uncultured bacterium
Lineage: Bacteria
Description: partial 16S ribosomal RNA
Rfam family: Bacterial small subunit ribosomal RNA
Source: RNAcentral